Molecule: transfer RNA, 74 nt
Filed under: Trichonephila inaurata madagascariensis
Lineage: Eukaryota; Metazoa; Arthropoda; Arachnida; Araneae; Nephilidae
Description: tRNA-Leu
Rfam family: tRNA
About the family: Transfer RNA (tRNA) molecules are approximately 80 nucleotides in length.
Source: RNAcentral
UCCCCAGUGGCGCAAUUGGUAAGCGCGCGGUACUUAAAAUGCCGAGGAUGUGAGUUCGAUCCUCACCUGGGGAA